This 1428-nucleotide ribosomal RNA is filed under the name metagenome. RNAcentral describes it as "bacterial SSU rRNA". It matches the Rfam family "Archaeal small subunit ribosomal RNA". The record is from RNAcentral.
UUGAUCCUGCGGGAGAUUGCUGCUAUUGGGAUCCGACUUAGCCAUGCAAGUCUGGGGCUCUUCGGAGCACCGGCAGAAUGCUUAGUAACACGUCGAUAAUCUGCCCUUUGGUCAGGGAUAACCUCGGAAAACUGAGGCUAAUACCUGAUAGAGGAUUGGUUCUGGAAUGAUCUUUCCUUGAAACUCGUGCCAAGGGAUGAGUCGGCGGCUGAUUAGGCUGUUGGUGGGGUAACGGCCCACCAAACCGAAGAUCAGUAGGGGCCUUGAGAGAGGUAGCCCCAAGAAGGACACUGAGAUACUGGUCCUAGCCCUACGGGGUGCAGCAGGCGCGGAACCUCUACAAUGCACGCAAGUGUGAUAGGGGGAUCCCAAGUGCUUAUGCUAUGCAUAGGCUUUUGCUAAGUGUAAAUAACUUGGCGAAUAAGUGGUGGGAAAGACUGGUGCCAGCAGCCGCGGUAACACCAGCGCCACGAGUGGCAAUCAUGUUUAUUGGGCCUAAAGCGUCCGUAGCUGGUUUGAUAAAUCCUUUGUGAAAUUGUUGUGCCUAACAUAAAUGGCAGGGGACACUAUCGAACUUGGAACCGGUGAGGGGUCAGAGGUAUGCUUGGGGGAGCGGUAAAAUGCUGUAAUCCCUAGUAGACCACCUGUGGCGAAGGCGUCUGACUAGAACGGGUUCGACAGUGAGGGACGAAAGCCAGGGGAGCGAUCCGGAUUAGAUACCCGAGUAGUCCUGGCCGUAAACGCUGCGAGCUAGGUGUUGCGUAUUCUACGCGAAUGCGCAGUGUCGAAGCGAAGGUGUUAAGCUCGCCGCCUGGGAAGUACGGUCGCAAGACUGAAACUUAAAGGAAUUGGCGGGGGAGCACCACAAGGGGUGCGGCGUGCGGUUUAAUCUAACUCAACGCAGAAAAUCUCACCAGGGGCGACGGUAGGAUGAAGGUCAGUCUGAAGGGCUUACUUAACGAGCCGAGAGGUAGUGCAUGGCCGUCGUCAGCUCGUGCCGUGAGGUGUCCUGUUAAGUCAGGCAACGAGCGAGACCUGUACCUACAAUUGCUAACAAACUCUCCGGAGUGAUUGAGCACAUUGUGGGAACUGCCCGUGAAAACGGGAGGAAGGUGCAGGCUACGGUAGGUCUGUAUGCUCCGAAUCCCCUGGGCUACACGCGCGCAACAAUGGUAGAGACAAUGGGAUACGACUCCGAAAGGAGAAGUCAAACCUUUAAACUCUAUCCAAGUCCAGAUUGAAGGCUGUAACCCGCCUUCAUGACGAUGGAAUCCCUAGUAAUCAGAAGUCACUAUCUUCUGGUGAAUAUGUCCCUGCUCUUUGCACACACCGCCCGUCAAACCACUCGAGCAGAGUUUGGAUGAGCGUUAAUUAUCAUGAUUAACUCGAAUCUAAGCUCAGUGAGAUGGGUUAAGUCGUCACAAGGUA